This 614-nucleotide long non-coding RNA is filed under the name Mustela putorius furo (domestic ferret). RNAcentral describes it as "lncRNA (ENSMPUG00000028648.1)". Lineage: Eukaryota; Metazoa; Chordata; Mammalia; Carnivora; Mustelidae. The record is from RNAcentral.
AUCUGUGCGGUACCUCUCAUGGGCUUCCCAAGUGCUGCUUUGGUGCCAGCUUCCCUGUUGAGUGCGGAGGACCCCGACAGAAAUAACGGCAAUGGCCUCUUCGACUCACGUGCUGCAGGCCUUGCAGCCAUGGAGAGGAGCACCUCCUCAUCACCUCUGGCCCUCACCACUGCCUGGGAUCUCCUCACUCUACCUGACACAGCCUGGUGUUUUAAACCCCACUACAAUUCUGGUGUCCUUCACAAGCCCUGCCUGGCCCCUGUUCCGAUUCAUACUGAUAUCUUCUAAAGGGCUAUGGUCACUUUCUUCCCCCUGGACUUCUGACCUCCUGCUGGCAUCAUCCACCAAUGUUUCUCCCAUCCUGGUCACCAGAAUGGCCUUCCUAAAACACAGUGCUUUAAGAGUUUUUAUGUGUUCUGUGUACUCAAUUUUAUUUAUUUUUAAUUAAUUAAUUAAUUAAUUAAUUUCCUUUAAUGGCUUCUGGGUCUCCUGUCCUGUGUAGGAAGACUUUUUGCACUGUGAGGUUAUAAGGAUAUUUAUCAUUAUUGUUUUCCAUAUGCUUACAGUUUAUAAAGAAAAAACACAAAACUCCUUUACCUUUUACUCAUUUGGAA